GAUUCACACAUCUGGAAAAACAUAGUAGAAGGGAUAAAUAUUUGCAACAAAGGCUUACACUGGACAAUAGGUGAUGGUAAAUCCAUAAACAUCUGGGAUGAAAAAUGGAUAAAUCGCGCAAAACAUUUUAGAAGCCUCAUACAGAGGCCUCUAAUGAGGAAUGAACCAAACCUAGCACUCUCCACUAUCUUGGCUAAUAGUACUAUAAAUUUGAACACCCUAUCCUUCGACCUGCCUAUUAGCAUAAAGUAAAAUUCACAGCACCUAUAUUAAGCAAGUGCUACCAUCUAGGGACAAAUCAAACUGGAACACCUUAAAUCAUAACUCCUUUUCUACCAAAGCGGCUUAUGAGCUCAUCUCUUCUCCUCACGAGAAUCAGAUAAACAAUAUAGACUUCGGAUAGAUAUGGAAAGUCAUUGUGCUCAAUAAGAUUAAAGCUUUCCUAUGGCUAGUAGUUCAUAAUAGGCUCCCUACCACUCUCAUGCUCUUUAGAAGACACAUUAGCGAUACCUAUGUGUGUAGUAUUUGCUGCAACGAGGGGAUUAACUUUAACCAUAACUUUCAGCAUUUACAGAAUAAUGCUUAUAAUAUCUCCACGUAGCUGAAAAAAUAGAUUAACUCCAAAAGCAUGUUCAAUGAUCUUAUCAGCUGGAAUGAAACCCUUCCCUCUAUCCUCUGGGACCUCUGGUUAGCUAGAAACGACAUCCUCUUUAACAAGCAUAAAGCUCCUACUUUAGCUAGUCACAUCAUUAGCAAAGUAGUAGAGUUUAAGUACGUGACAAAAACUCUUCACACAAAGCCUGCUAAAUCCAUCUUAUAUAUUAAAUGAUUGAUUCUAACUAUCUAAAACUUAACAUAGACGGGUCUUGCAUGGGAAACCCAGGAAGGGGUGGUAUUGGGGAGUCUUCAAAGAUAAUAACAGUAACUGGAUUCUAGGUUUUAGUAUGGCCAUCCCGCAUGCUACAAACAUAUAUAUGGAAGCCCUAGCCUUGCUACAUGGAUUAAAAUUGGCUAAAGAGAAAGGACUACACCCUCUGGUUAUUGAAUCUGACUGCAAAGACUUAGUUAAAAUGAUGACUAACAGUGAUUGCUACUAUCAAAAUAUGGUUGAUGAUUGCAGAGGGUGUCACAUCUCCUUUUUCUUGAGGGGAUAGGGAGUUUUUUCCAAUUAAAGUGACAUUAUUCGAAAUGGGAUUAUUUAUUUAAUUCAGAGUCGUUAUUUGAGAUAAUUAUAUGGUGUCCCAAGUCACCGGUUAUUUUAAAUCCCAAAUCGAGAAAAUUUGACUCCGUUUAAAAGUUAGCGAAACCAGAAAGACUAAGUAAGGAUUCUGUUAACCCGGGAGAAGGUGUUAGGCAUUCUCGGGUUCUGUGGUUUUAGCACGGUCGCUUAGCAAUUUAUACUUGGCCUAUUUUGUCUAAUCACUCAUUUUAGUACCUAUGUUUAUUUUUACCUUUUACCGCUAUUAAUCACUUGAUAAUUCAUAUUUAAAGAAUUAACUUAAGAUGAGUUACGCGUACGUAUACUCAAUUCCUAACACUUAGUUUAUUUUUAAAAAAAGAUUUGGUCAAAGUUGCGCGAACACAUACUUUGAAUUUAUUUGAAAGAAACGUAAUUAUGAUAACAAUUUAAGAAUGGCGCCUAAAGCAUUUCUACGAAUAAAUGAUUAAGGCAUUUUAAUUACUAAAACGUUUGAUCAUGGUCACGCGAACGUAUACCUUGGUUUAUCUUUGGCAUCACAACUAUGUCACGCAUGCAUAUAUAUAAUUGUAAUAGUUAAUCUAAUUUAAAUUGGACCUAAAGUUAUGAUCAUGUCUCUAUGCUAAAUUCCCUAUGUAAUGUAACUAGGUGUAAAAGUUCAAUACUAUGUGAGAUAUUUAUUUGAAUCAAAUGAUGCUAACAAAUCAUACGAUAACACUAAUUCCUUAUUGGCCUAUUAGUGUCGAAAUGAACAUGGACUUGAUGGAAGAGUUCAAACCCCAUUUGAUCUUGUGAGAAGUACUAGUAGGUCCAAUUGACCCGACACUAUUAAACUACUAGAGUAUUGAGCUCCUAGUCUUGCAAUUUCAGGCCCAUAAACAGGCCCAAAUUCAAAUAUUCAUGGAUUCAGAUUGAUAGCUAAAUAAUUUUCAGUCUACACAAAGGAUUAGUCUUAAAAACCUCAUCAUAUUUACAACUAGUUUGAAGAUUGUGCAAAAAAUACUUUUAAGAACUGAGCCGCUUCAUUACUAGGCCCAAAAAUAAUAUAAAUACUCUUUCCAAAAAAAAUAGGGUCUUUUCAUUACUGGACCUAAAAACAAAACAUCACGCCCUAGUGACUUUAAACAAAAGAGUGAAUAUGCAGAUUAAAAAAAAUGCGGGAGAAAAGACAUUAUUACAAACUUGAUUUUAAAUAAAUUACUAUGUAACUUGGCAUUCAAAAUGCUCAAAUUACUACUCUUGCAUUCUGAUUUAAACAAUUGUGGUUCUCCUGCCUACCUCGACUUCAAACAACAAACAUAUAUUCUAGAAGAUAACAAUAUUGAGCCAUAUCCUCGAAACUAUUUGAAUGUUGUUGUUCCCUUUACCAACAUGUUAAUUAAUUAGACAAACUUUAAAUACAACCAUGUCAUAAUAGUAAGUAUAGUUCAUUAUGGACUUUAUCAGAUUCAAACUCAGAAUCCAGUAAACAACCUAAAACAGCAAACAAAAUAAACAGAAGGGAGUUUAACAAUUAAACAUACUGGAGUUCAUAAAAUUAAUGACAAAAAUGGUUCGAAAAAAUUAAAUCUCCAUUUAAACAUCCAAGUUAAAGAUUACAGAAGAACAAGACAUACCUAAUCAGCAAAAAAUCUUUGACAAAAGAAAAUAAGUGUUUGGAUUUGAGAAGAAUGAAUAGUAGGAAACCAAACAGCAGCAGAAAACUAGCAGUAAAUGGAGCCAAGAAAACUCAACUUCAGAUCCCAGAAAAGAUAAAAGAAACAUGCUUCUUUUUUUUUUGUUUUCUCUAGAACUCUAAGGCUGGAAUUCCAGAAAAAAGUUUUCUAAAAAUGAAGAUGCAAGGAGUGAGUCUCUGAGAAUGCAGUCUCAAAAUUAGUCUUAAGAAUCUGAAAUUCAG
RNAcentral lists this long non-coding RNA (3095 nucleotides) under Nicotiana tabacum (common tobacco). RNAcentral describes it as "long non-coding RNA (NTAB_LNC006841)". The record is from RNAcentral. Lineage: Eukaryota; Viridiplantae; Streptophyta; Magnoliopsida; Solanales; Solanaceae.